This 1486-nucleotide ribosomal RNA is filed under the name uncultured bacterium. RNAcentral's name for it is "16S ribosomal RNA". It matches the Rfam family "Bacterial small subunit ribosomal RNA". The record is from RNAcentral.
GAUGAACGCUGGCGGCGUGCCUAAUACAUGCAAGUCGAACGAAACUUCUUUAUCACCGAGUGCUUGCACUCGCCGAUAAAGAGUUGAGUGGCGAACGGGUGAGUAACACGUGGGCAACCUGCCCAAAAGAGGGGGAUAACACUUGGAAACAGGUGCUAAUACCGCAUAACCAUAGUUACCGCAUGGUAACUAUGUAAAAGGUGGCUAUGCUACCGCUUUUGGAUGGGCCCGCGGCGCAUUAGCUAGUUGGUGAGGUAAAGGCUUACCAAGGCAAUGAUGCGUAGCCGAACUGAGAGGUUGAUCGGCCACAUUGGGACUGAGACACGGCCCAAACUCCUACGGGAGGCAGCAGUAGGGAAUCUUCCACAAUGGGCGAAAGCCUGAUGGAGCAACGCCGCGUGGGUGAAGAAGGUCUUCGGAUCGUAAAACCCUGUUGUUAGAGAAGAAAGUGCGUGAGAGUAACUGUUCACGUUUCGACGGUAUCUAACCAGAAAGCCACGGCUAACUACGUGCCAGCAGCCGCGGUAAUACGUAGGUGGCAAGCGUUAUCCGGAUUUAUUGGGCGUAAAGGGAACGCAGGCGGUCUUUUAAGUCUGAUGUGAAAGCCUUCGGCUUAACCGGAGUAGUGCAUUGGAAACUGGGAGACUUGAGUGCAGAAGAGGAGAGUGGAACUCCAUGUGUAGCGGUGAAAUGCGUAGAUAUAUGGAAGAACACCAGUGGCGAAAGCGGCUCUCUGGUCUGUAACUGACGCUGAGGUUCGAAAGCGUGGGUAGCAAACAGGAUUAGAUACCCUGGUAGUCCACGCCGUAAACGAUGAAUGCUAAGUGUUGGAGGGUUUCCGCCCUUCAGUGCUGCAGCUAACGCAAUAAGCAUUCCGCCUGGGGAGUACGACCGCAAGGUUGAAACUCAAAGGAAUUGACGGGGGCCCGCACAAGCGGUGGAGCAUGUGGUUUAAUUCGAAGCAACGCGAAGAACCUUACCAGGUCUUGACAUCUUUUGACAAUCCUAGAGAUAGGACUUUCCCUUCGGGGACAGAAUGACAGGUGGUGCAUGGUUGUCGUCAGCUCGUGUCGUGAGAUGUUGGGUUAAGUCCCGCAACGAGCGCAACCCUUAUUGUUAGUUGCCAGCAUUAAGUUGGGCACUCUAGCAAGACUGCCGGUGACAAACCGGAGGAAGGUGGGGAUGACGUCAAAUCAUCAUGCCCCUUAUGACCUGGGCUACACACGUGCUACAAUGGACGGUACAACGAGUCGCAAGACCGCGAGGUUUAGCAAAUCUCUUAAAGCCGUUCUCAGUUCGGAUUGUAGGCUGCAACUCGCCUACAUGAAGUCGGAAUCGCUAGUAAUCGCGGAUCAGCAUGCCGCGGUGAAUACGUUCCCGGGCCUUGUACACACCGCCCGUCACACCAUGAGAGUUUGUAACACCCAAAGCCGGUGGGGUAACCUUUUGGAGCCAGCCGUCUAAGGUGGGACAGAUGAUUGGGGUG